RNAcentral lists this ribosomal RNA (249 nucleotides) under uncultured bacterium. Its description in RNAcentral is "partial 16S ribosomal RNA". It matches the Rfam family "Bacterial small subunit ribosomal RNA", at positions 523 to 769 of the family's 1533-position model. The record is from RNAcentral.
AUACGGAGGGUCCGAGCGUUAUCCGGAUUUAUUGGGUUUAAAGGUGGGGCGUAGGCGGUUUUAUAAGUCAGCGGUGAAAUUUUCCGGCUCAACCGGGAUACUGCCGUUGAUACUGUAAGGCUAGGAUAUGGUUGCUGUGGGUGGAAUGUGUGGUGUAGCGGUGAAAUGCUUAGAGAUCACACAGAAUAUCGAUUGCGAAGGCAGCUCACAAAGCCAUUAUUGACGCUGAGGCACGAAAGUGUGGGGAUC